RNAcentral lists this small RNA (28 nucleotides) under Bombyx mori (domestic silkworm). Its description in RNAcentral is "ovarian small RNA-11393". The record is from RNAcentral. Lineage: Eukaryota; Metazoa; Arthropoda; Insecta; Lepidoptera; Bombycidae.
ACCUUCGAUGGCUGCUGGUGCGGCGGCC